GAGUCACUCCUCCACGCGUCUUCAUCUCUAAGAAGAAGAAAAGCAAGAAAGACGACAGCCACAGCUUCUCCUCGAGACCUGACGAAGCCACGACCCGUUUCCUGAAUCCAUUCUUCUCAAAGAGGAAGGAUGAAUGGUUCUCGUAAGCAAUCAAUCGUCUACGCUGUUCGAGAUUACCAACCACUAAAAGAAAGCAGCGUCGCUUGCUCUGCCACGAUGACGGACGGAGCAAGAAGCUUAACGAUGCGGCGCGGAUUGAUCACCGACGUUUCUGCCGAGAGAUGUUGAGAGAAUCAUAGACACGUUUGCUCUGAAUCGAGAGGCUUCCCGUAAAAAUGAAUGUUUCUUCUUCUUACACGUUGACAUAGAAUCAAUAACUCUUUAUGAUCAGUCAUUGUAAUUUGGAAAUGUGUAGGUUAGCUUCUCGGAAGAUAGAAUCAUGAGCAGUUAUGUGACGCCGCUGGUGAGGAAAGAGUCAAGUCCUGUGGUGCUCUUCACGGAUUUGAUAGUUUUUCAAGUAUUGGUAUGCGUUCCCAAGAGCAGAGUGAAAGUCUGAAGUCUCACAAGUACCAUACUGGGAGUGAUUGUGAAGUGCUUGCCCAUCUUGUAAGUACCAUUUCUUGCUUCCGUAGAUA
Molecule: long non-coding RNA, 635 nt
Organism: Brassica oleracea var. oleracea
Lineage: Eukaryota; Viridiplantae; Streptophyta; Magnoliopsida; Brassicales; Brassicaceae
Exons: 3
Source: RefSeq, a predicted model, not a curated record